This 240-nucleotide unclassified non-coding RNA is filed under the name soil metagenome. RNAcentral describes it as "partial contains 5.8S ribosomal RNA, internal transcribed spacer 2, and large subunit ribosomal RNA". The record is from RNAcentral.
AACGCACGAGACCUGCGGACCUGCGGAAGGAUCAUUAACGAGUGUAACUUACCCUUUUUUUUAAAAGAGGGUAGUACCUCCUGUCCUUUGUAGGCCCCUUUUUAUUGGGGGGCUUUUUAAGACUUUCUGCUUCGGCGGGGUUAUUCCCGCCGGAACACCCUCAAAAAACUCUUCAAAAACUAAUUCAGUCCGAGAAUUUUUGAAAAUAAAAAAAACUUUCAACAAUGGAUCUCUAGAUCG